CAGGGCUCUUCCUGCCGGCAGCAGUUUCAGACUUGUCUCUGAAAAGGAGCUAGUUGCUUUGUGUGUGUGUGUGUUCUGUGCUGUGAGCACUGCUACAGGGAGCUGAGUGGAGAGCUUGGAAAUCCGGGAAACCACGUCAUGCUGAGUGAGGGGCUGUUGUGAUGGGGAGAAGCAGACGGUGAGGUGUUGGAGCCAGUGUGGUGGGUCCGCCCCGGAUCUGAGUGGAAACCUGCAGCCAGAUUCCCUGUCCUGAAAAGUGGGCUUUGCUGGAUCCUUCCCAGAAGACUCUCCAUAAAGAUGUGAUAUUGGAGACUACAGGAUCCUUACUGCUAUAGGUAAGACUAUGAAUUUUCCUUCACAUUUUAAAAUAAGGAGGCAACUGUUUCUUGGUUAUUGAUUUUCUUCUGUAAUUACAAUUGAAACUGAGCAAGGAUGAUAUGAAUGAAUCAGUCAUGUUACUAAGGUUCACUGAAUCUUAGAACUUAGAACCUUAGAACUUAAAUGUUGCAUGACUUCCAAUAAUAUAUCAGGCAUUUUCUAGUACUAUAUUUUAGGCUACACAGAAGGUAAUUUUAAUGUGCAAGCUAAUACAAAUAUGCCUGAGAAGAAAUUUUUUUUCAGUUUAAGUAAUAAAAAUUUUAUUUAGAAUUUCUGGGAUGGUGGUUAAAUCUCCCCCCACUCUGGGGGGAGAAGAAAUUUUAAGGUGUGUGGAAGUUUUAAAGAAAGCAACAGUGUAAUUAAGCACAGCUUAAGGUUCAUUGAUGAUUAUUAAAUUUCCACAAAACCAUAUACCAAUGCAUUUAGUUUCAUAGCACUCAUAUUACAUAAGGUAUGCACAUUGAAUAAGUAAUAAAUACAUGUCCAAAACCUUGUAAUAAUCAAAUAGUUCAUAGUAAAGCUUGUGUUAUUCAUAUGCUUGUGAUUUUGCUAAGUUUAGUGAGAGGAGGGGUAGUUACAUUCAAGAGCCAAGGGCGACUGUUGUGGAGAAACCUUAUUCUCUACAUCAUAUGUCUGUAAGGAACAGAAAGUUAAAUGCUACCAAUGCAAUGUGGACACCUCUUAUUUGUUAUUCUUCCUUUAUUAGGUAUAUCAUAUGUCACUCUCGAUACUAGCUAUAUAAGCAUAGGGAUAUGGAAAGAAGCAACAUAUCCCUCUCUCUCUCUAAGAACAAUUAGAAGAUAUGUAGCAGCACCCAAUUUGAAUAGAUUUGUUGAAUGUGAUGCAAAUUCACAAGUAAUUACUUUUCCAGCUUUCAUUGGAAAUAUCUCAACAAACUCACACUUCAUAAAAUCCCUAUGUGUGCUAGGAAUGUAUAUAUACUUCUGUUUGUCCUGUUCGUUUAACAAAUGUAGUAUGACUCACACUAUAGGAAAACUUAUGAGUUUUUCUAGUUAUCUUCAAAUAUGUGAAAAAUCUCAUAUAGAAAAAAAGAUGCUAUAAAUGUGAGCCUUUGCAGGUAUUUUCAAAGAUCCAAAACCACCCUUAGAAGCAGGAGCAACAUGAGUGUAAAACAGCGAUAAAGCCUUAAGACCUGAUUUCUCUUUACAAUUAGACCAAAUUAUAAAAUUAAUUCAUACAGAUAUAUUCAACAGUGUAAUGGAUGUGUUACAAUUUUUAACUGUGUCAUUUAUGAAAGAAGUCAUACUGGAGAGAAACCUUCUGAAUAUUCUCAAAGUGUUAAAGCCUAUGCAUAUCAUGGUUAUCCUCAAAGGCCUGAAAGACUCCAUACUGGAGGGAAGCCCUAUAAUUGCAAUCAAUGUGUGAAAGCAUUUGCAUAUCAUACUCAUCUUCUAAGUCAGAAAAUAACUGAUACUGGAGGGAAACCCUAUGAAUGUAAUCAAUGCAUUAAGGCCUAUGCAUAUAAGUCUUCUAAUGUAUAAAAUAACCCAUACUGGAGAGAAGCACUAUGAAUGUAAUUAAUAUGGUAGAUUCUUUUCACAGGACUGUAGUCUCCAAACACUUAAAAGAACACAUACAGGAGAGAAAGAAACCCUAUGAAUGUAGUCGAUGUGGUAAAGCCUUUCAUGUCACAGUAUUUUUUCAACUAAUAAAAGAACACAUUGGAGAGAAACUCUAUGAAAGUAUUGUGGUGUCAAGCCUUUCAUGUCACAUAAUUUAAUGCAUAAAAGAACAUAUAUUGGAGAGAACCUCUAUGAAAGUGAUGUGUUAAAGCCUUUGCACAUCAUUGUAGUCUUUGAAAUUCUGAGAAAAAAAUCAUACUGCAGAGCAAAUAUUAAUGUAGUCAGUAUGGUAAGGUUUUGUACUUUGUGGUGUUCUUUAUACAAGAGUAAAACUUUUAGUGUUCAGUCAUUCUGUUAUAGCCUGUUCAUAUCACAAAUAGUCUUUGAGGACCUGAAAAAAACUCAUAUAGAAGAAAGUCUGGCUAUAAAGGAUUUCAUAAGAUCUUUAGUCAACACAUUCUAGUUAUAUAAGAGUAUUCUGGAGAAAAUAAUUUCACAGUGUCAACUAUCUGUUCAAACAGUAUAAUGCCUGUCUUUAUUUUGUUUGCACUUGCAAACUCAUAUGGACAAAGCCCUACAAAUUUAAAUGCUAAAGUAACCCUUUUAGGUUUCCUCUUCAAUGACAUGAAAUAACUAAUUCAGGUAUAAAACUUCAUGAAUGUUUAUUUGUGCCUUUUCCAUUGUGAUAAAACAUAAUGUUUAUAUCAACUCAUGAAAGAGUUUGACUCUUGGUUCCAGAGGGAUACAGGAUCACAGUGAAAGUGGCAUGGCAACAGGUGUCAGACAUGGCUGCUACAUAUCAUGAUGCUUAGAUCUCACAUUCUCAACCUGCAGGAUGAACCAGAGGGUGGAAAUGGGAAACAGUGUGCUUAUGUAAAUUAUGAAAGCAUACCCCAGGACAUAUUUCCUCCAGCAGGGCAUCAUUUCCUAAUUCAUCCCAAAUGAUACCACCAACUAAGAAGUAUUGAUAUCUCUGACUCCAAGCCUACAUGCUUGUUUUCUGUUAUAUGAAGCAGUCCAUGUACUGGAAAACUAUAAGCCUUUAUAUGCCUCAACAUCUGGGUUACAGGAAUGAAUGCAUACAAAAGAAAAAUAGUCAGGAUUGGAAAUGUUCAAUGAUUUUAAUUAAUUUUUAUUUUGUUAUGUCAGUGUGUCUUCAGAUAUAUGCAUGUGAUUAGAUGCGUAAACCCUUUAGUCUUCCUUUAUUUAUUUCUAACAGGAAUUACAGAAUGUUGUCAAAAAAAAAACCUCACUUGGAUUCUGGGCAGGGACUUGUCUUAACUGAUUGGCCCUGUCUUUAUCCCUCUCAUUAUUUGUUUUUAAGAUUUUAUUUAUUAUGUAUACAACAUUCUGCUUCCAUGUAUAUCUGCACACCAGAAUAGGGCACCAGAUCUCAUAACAGAUGGUUGUGAGGCACCAUGUGGUUGCUGGGAAUUGAACUCAGGACCUCUGGAAGAGCAGUCAGUGCUCUUAACCUCUGAGCCAUCUCUCCAGCCCUCCUUCUCAGUAUUUUAUACCAUUGUAUCCUCAGUAUUAGGAAUUACAAGAAGUUGUCAAACACCUGACCUUGGUCCUUGGAAUGAACUUUUAACUGCUUGGUCACAUCUCUAGCCCUAUGAUAUUUUAAACAUUUAUACGUCAUCUUGACAUUAGAAAAUAAGGAAGAAUGAGAAAAAUCUUAUUCAUGUAAACAAUAUGGUAAAGAUUUUGCAUAUCACAGUUGACUUCAGUUUCAAUGAAAAAGUUCUGUUUCAUCUAUUACAUUAUACCCUUGAAGCAAGUAAAUUGUUUACCAUAUUCAUGCAAGUAUGAUGGUUGAGAUCAGAGUAUUGUGGUUUGCAUUUUGAAAGUUUUGUAGUAGGUAUUGAAGUGUCCUGUAUAUGUGGCAAAUCCACUUACUGAAGUUUAUUUGCUGGUUCAUAUAUUGCUUCUUUGACUCUGUUCAUCUUCUGUUGUAUUUUCACUUUGUGAUAGGCAUUUUUUUCUGCUUAAAUGUAUAGAAUGGGUUGCCCAUUAUCUAAGUGGUUCAUUGUUUACUUAAAUAUCAGACAGGGUUAUCCUACUUUUCACAUAAAGGUGUCUGUGAAAGGGUGGUGGCUUCUUGGUCCUUGUCUAAUUUUUUUUAUAUUUCCACAGAUUUCCUCCAGAUGUCGUUUGUUUUCCAUGCUGGCUUGGAUGUCAGUAAUUAGUCAGGGCUCCCUUUGAACUCAUAGGUCUGGUGUUUCAUCCUCCUGAGUUCAAGACCAACAGUAGAUGAUGUACUCCUGAUGUGUGCUCCUUUGUAGACAUGUUUUAACAAUGUUAAUAUUAACAUGCUUAAUAGAAGAUAAGAAAAUACUUCAUGUGUCUAUCCCAAGAAGUGUCUGGUGGAGAUAUAAUAAAAUAGAAUAAUCAUCAAUCAUCUGUGUAUCUCAUAACAUAGCUUGUUGUAUUAUGGAGAUGUAUAUAGUUUUCAACAUUCCUGCUUCUUCAUGAUCCAGUUUUUAUCCAUUUGGCACUCAUCUUGAAGUAUUUUCUCCUAAAGGAAUUAUCUACAGAUGCCAGGUAAUGUAAAGACAGAUUUAUUUUUUAAAAACAUGUCUGGUGUGUGUGUGUGUGUGUGUGUGUGUGUGUGUGUGUGAUGAUGGGUUAGAAUGGGUAACAGAUAUGUUUGUGGGUUUUUUUUUAGUCUUAUUCACAUGUGAUCAAGGUCAGGUUGCCAGUCUUGCACACAACAUCACAUCAGUAUAAUAUUGUUCUCUAUUCAAAGUGGAAUUAUACUAUCAUUUAAGAAAAGAUCAACACAGGAUCUAUUUAUGCUCCCAUCUUUCUGUAUUUUUGUUAGUUUAUUCUUGGGUACUUUACAUUUGUGGUACCAGCACCGAUGUCCCCAGGAGCCGGGGAGAUGAAAUGCCAACUCAAGGGAUCAUGCAAUGAGCUACCACAUCUGCUGUUC
Molecule: long non-coding RNA, 4896 nt
Filed under: Cricetulus griseus (Chinese hamster)
Lineage: Eukaryota; Metazoa; Chordata; Mammalia; Rodentia; Cricetidae
Description: lncRNA (ENSCGRG00015029443.1)
Source: RNAcentral